This 100-nucleotide ribosomal RNA is filed under the name Pseudomonas sp. Pdm06. The record is from RNAcentral. RNAcentral also lists the same sequence under 2 other names. Lineage: Bacteria; Pseudomonadati; Pseudomonadota; Gammaproteobacteria; Pseudomonadales; Pseudomonadaceae.
CAUUGGAACCACCUGAUCCCAUCCCGAACUCAGAAGUGAAACGAUGCAUCGCCGAUGGUAGUGUGGGGUUUCCCCAUGUGAGAGUAGGUCAUCGUCAAGA